This is a non-coding RNA of Oesophagostomum dentatum (nodular worm), 74 nucleotides long. NCBI's taxonomy places the organism in Eukaryota, Metazoa, Nematoda, Chromadorea, Rhabditida, Strongylidae. The record is from the annotation of a GenBank genome assembly.
UGCUGGAUGGUUCAGUCGGUAGAGUGUCGGACUGUGAGUCCAACAGUCGCCGGUUCGAGUUUGGGCAUGAGGGG